CCUACGGGGGGCAGCAGUGGGGAAUAUUGGACAAUGGGCGAAAGCCUGAUCCAGCCAUGCCGCGUGUGUGAAGAAGGCCUUCGGGUUGUAAAGCACUUUCAGUGGGGAAGAAAGCCUUGGGGCUAAUACCCUCGAGGAAGGACAUCACCCACAGAAGAAGCACCGGCUAACUCCGUGCCAGCAGCCGCGGUAAUACGGAGGGUGCGAGCGUUAAUCGGAAUUACGGGGCGUAAAGCGCGCGUAGGCGGUCUGAUAAGCCGGUUGUGAAAGCCCCGGGCUCAACCUGGGAACGGCAUCCGGAACUGUCAGGCUAGAGUGCAGGAGAGGAAGGUAGAAUUCCCGGUGUAGCGGUGAAAUGCGUAGAGAUCGGGAGGAAUACCAGUGGCGAAGGCGGCCUUCUGGACUGACACUGACGCUGAGGUGCGAAAGCGUGGGUAGCAAACAGGAUUAGAUACCCGGGUAGUC
RNAcentral lists this ribosomal RNA (465 nucleotides) under Vreelandella stevensii. RNAcentral's name for it is "partial 16S ribosomal RNA". It matches the Rfam family "Bacterial small subunit ribosomal RNA", at positions 338 to 795 of the family's 1533-position model. Lineage: Bacteria; Pseudomonadati; Pseudomonadota; Gammaproteobacteria; Oceanospirillales; Halomonadaceae. The record is from RNAcentral.